Molecule: transfer RNA, 80 nt
Filed under: Nosocomiicoccus ampullae
Lineage: Bacteria; Bacillati; Bacillota; Bacilli; Caryophanales; Staphylococcaceae
Also listed under: 2 other names
Description: tRNA-Leu
Rfam family: tRNA
About the family: Transfer RNA (tRNA) molecules are approximately 80 nucleotides in length. Their secondary structure includes four short double-helical elements and three loops (D, anti-codon, and T loops).
Source: RNAcentral
GCUCCCGUGGCGGAAUAGGCAGACGCGUCGGACUCAAAAUCCGAUUCUUCGGAGUGCCGGUUCGAUCCCGGCCGGGAGUA